This 2790-nucleotide long non-coding RNA is filed under the name Mus musculus (house mouse). RNAcentral describes it as "long non-coding RNA chr18:69016150-69018940". Lineage: Eukaryota; Metazoa; Chordata; Mammalia; Rodentia; Muridae. The record is from RNAcentral.
ACUCGGGAGCACCAGAAAGCCCGACUAGCUCAGCAGCUCUUUAUGACAUCUGGCACACACUAACUUGCUUCCAGCUCGGCUCGUAGAGCUGGGCUCUGUCCUGCUUUGAAACUAGCCCCAGCUCCUCAAUUACCUUCUGCCCUUAUUCAUGCCCUGCCAAUUCCUCUUUGCUGGAAUCUGAAUGAAGCUACUGCAUCUGCCAAGGCCAAGAAGCUGCUGUAAGGACUUGUGGGGCUCGCCUUGGAAGUGAAGGUGGCAUUUAGAAUCAGGUAGGUGGAGAGCUCAUUCAACACUGGGCAUUAUGGGUAAUAAGAGGAAGGUAGAGAUUUUCGAAUACAUUUUCUUGUUGGAUAUUCCUAGGAAAGAGGUAAGAGUUAUCUGCUCUGGGGCUUAGGCAGAGCCCGUGCUCAAAUCAAAAGCCCACAGGACAGGUGUGAAUGAACAUUCUCUUCAGAGCAUCCCCUUGGCAAACAGACUCCCGCUCACCUGGCAGCUGCCAGUGCUGUGACCCAGUCAGCUCCUGUCAGCCAGGAGAGAUGGUUUCUCUACUUCCUCAAGUCCUGAGUUAAGAGGACUGAACUGAUGAGCAAAGCCAUUUCUUCAGGUCAAUACAUCAACUUUCAGCAGAAGGAUCUACCGGAAGUCCAACACUGUGGAAAGCAAGUCGAGACUUGGAAAUGGGGAGGGGAGGAUGGAAGCAUCCUUCAAGCUUUUACCUCACGCUUGAAAGAAGUUCUGCAAAAGGCGCUCUUGAAUUUGCCCAGCUUUAUCUCCUCAGCCCUUUUGUUCACUGUGGGUUUGCUGUUAGCUUACCUGCAAACACCACACAAGAGCAGACCAACUACCAAAGAAUCUAGUGUGACAAGAAGAGAAACGUCUCCCCAAAAAUAAUCUCCAAAGGAUUGGCCAGAAAUGACCUGUGGAGGUGAGAGGACACACCUGUUCUCAUUAAGACUCUCUCUCUCUCUCUCUCUCUCUCUCUCUCUCUCUCUCUCUCUCUCUCGCUCUCACUCUCGCUCUCUCUCUCUCCCCUAAGUGUACACCCACCAAGCUCCACUUCUUACUCUGAGGUGACACUGUCCAGAUGACAGCAAUGCCAUGGAAAGUCACAACCUUAAUCAUUAAAGACACACGUGUGUUUCCACACUCCAAACACACUGAACACAAGCAAGUCUCUGAACACCUGGCCCACAGUAGAAUGUAACAUUUGGAAGUAGAUAAAACAUGCCAUUUGCCAAGCAACCAGCCACCGCCAUAAAUUUUAUAGGCUAAAGUAUCUUCCAACUGCAGGUUUUAGUAGAUAGGCCGCUCAGGACCCCAGUUCUGAAAAUCAACUCAAUCUUUACUUAGCUCUACUCUAGAGAUGGACAUGUCUUUAUAGGAUAUUGCAGGUAUCUUGGCUGCCUCAGCAGCAGGAAACUAUAUUUCACAGGCUGAAGACAUAGGAUGCCUUGUCUGCAGGAUUCCAUGGUCGAUUAGCAAAUGCCAUAAACAGAGCAUGCUGUACUGUUGGAAGUGAGCAGCGAGUUUCAUGUGUUGCCCAGCACCAUCUUAAAAGGGGGACUUCAGGCCCAAAUGGAUAUCAUAGUUGACUUUGAAGUCAAUUAAAAAGAAAAAGUACAACUAGUAGAGUCAUUAAGUCAACAGAUGUUCUCGGAAUAGGUGACUCAACGCCUUCACAGGGCUACGGAAGAGGAUAUGAAGACCAGAGAGAACAUGUGUCCAAAACCGCUGUCGUCUUUUCACCCCAUUUGUUUUAGAAUGAGCCAAUGUGUGGGUUGAUUGCCUAUCCUAUGGCUAAUGAUUAUGCAAAUAUUUGCAAAUCGCUCUGAUCAUGCACUCAAGCACCAAAAGAAGGCGAAGGAAAACCAGUCCUUCCUGCUGCUCCCGACAGGCAGUAAGAGCUCAGCCUUGACUCCGUGAGCUUACUGUUGUACAGACCCCUAUACGCAGGGAACUGGACAGGCUUUUGGAAGUUUUGAGAUCCAAAAACUCUGUGUCGAGCUGGUAAAUAGCUCUCUGUGUUUUUGUGCCAGAGGUAGUCAAGCUGCGACGUUUAAAACAGGAAGUGAACUGAUCCUGUUUUACAUGGGAAAUAAAAAGGAAGGCCACUGGAGGCCUGUAUAGUAGCAGUAAUUACAGAUUCAAGGGGAUUCUCAGCCCAAAGGUUGUCUAAUGGCCCAAUGCUAUGGGCUAGGACAUUUUGGGUCUUUCUUGAGUCAAACUGGAGGUGGGACAGGAAGAAAAGGGGACAUCCUAGCAGAUGUCCUUCCUGAGGUACCAAGCCAGCCCAUCUGUAAAUGUAGAGAGAAAGUGGGACAUCUCUUCAGCCUAGACCAACAGUGCUGAUUGGUGUGGCUAGCCACAGCCUGGCACCUCACUCUUUCCUAUUCAAAAGCAGAAGGCCAAUGGGCAUUGCUGGGUGCCAUAUCAGCCCUCUGUGUUCUUGGCUGGGAGGUAAUUAAUCCCCUCCAUCUGGACUAUGCAGCCACAAGCCAGGUUAACUGGACUGUAACAGGAUAAAGGCAGAAAAUAUCACAGUUCUGAAUCCUAAAUAUCCCAGAGAAGGUCAGAUCUGCUACUGCCAUGAUCAGAUAGGAGAACUUGCAUCUUCUUAAUGCAAGGGGCCCGCCCCGUGGAAGGCCAGAAAUCUCUAUUCCUUGGUAGUGUGUAUAAAAUACCCUUUACUGUAGUCUAUAGCUUGAAAAGUCUUUUGUUCAAAUAUUAUUUGCAUCUGAAAGUAUCAAUGAAAAUGUUUUGGACAGUAAGAAAUAAAAACCUUAAAACACC